GUCGGCUUAGAGUUUGAUCCUGGCUCAGGAUGAACGCUGGCGGCGUGCCUAAUACAUGCAAGUCGAACGAAACUUCUUUAUCACCGAGUGCUUGCACUCACCGAUGAAGAGUUGAGUGGCGAACGGGUGAGUAACACGUGGGCAACCUGCCCAAAAGAGGGGGAUAACACUUGGAAACAGGUGCUAAUACCGCAUAACCAUAGUUACCGCAUGGUAACUAUGUAAAAGGUGGCUAUGCUACCGCUUUUGGAUGGGCCCGCGGCGCAUUAGCUAGUUGGUGAGGUAAAGGCUUACCAAGGCAAUGAUGCGUAGCCGAACUGAGAGGUUGAUCGGCCACAUUGGGACUGAGACACGGCCCAAACUCCUACGGGAGGCAGCAGUAGGGAAUCUUCCACAAUGGGCGAAAGCCUGAUGGAGCAACGCCGCGUGGGUGAAGAAGGUCUUCGGAUCGUAAAACCCUGUUGUUAGAGAAGAAAGUGCGUGAGAGUAACUGUUCACGUUUCGACGGUAUCUAACCAGAAAGCCACGGCUAACUACGUGCCAGCAGCCGCGGUAAUACGUAGGUGGCAAGCGUUAUCCGGAUUUAUUGGGCGUAAAGGGAACGCAGGCGGUCUUUUAAGUCUGAUGUGAAAGCCUUCGGCUUAACCGGAGUAGUGCAUUGGAAACUGGGAGACUUGAGUGCAGAAGAGGAGAGUGGAACUCCAUGUGUAGCGGUGAAAUGCGUAGAUAUAUGGAAGAACACCAGUGGCGAAAGCGGCUCUCUGGUCUGUAACUGACGCUGAGGUUCGAAAGCGUGGGGAGCAAACAGGA
RNAcentral lists this ribosomal RNA (810 nucleotides) under uncultured bacterium. RNAcentral's name for it is "bacterial SSU rRNA". It matches the Rfam family "Bacterial small subunit ribosomal RNA", at positions 1 to 777 of the family's 1533-position model. The record is from RNAcentral.